RNAcentral lists this small RNA (107 nucleotides) under Marmota monax (woodchuck). The record is from RNAcentral. Lineage: Eukaryota; Metazoa; Chordata; Mammalia; Rodentia; Sciuridae.
GCUGGGUGUGGUGGCGUAUGUCUGUAAUCCCAACUACUAGGGAGGUUGAGGCAGGAAAAUUGUUAAUUCAAGGCCAGUCCAAGCAACUUAGUGAGGUCCUAUCUCAA